This 449-nucleotide ribosomal RNA is filed under the name uncultured bacterium. RNAcentral describes it as "bacterial SSU rRNA". It matches the Rfam family "Bacterial small subunit ribosomal RNA", at positions 28 to 490 of the family's 1533-position model. The record is from RNAcentral.
GACGAACGCUGGCGGCGCGCCUAACACAUGCAAGUCGAACGAGCGAGAGAGAGCUUGCUUUCUCGAGCGAGUGGCGAACGGGUGAGUAACGCGUGAGGAACCUGCCUCAAAGAGGGGGACAACAGUUGGAAACGACUGCUAAUACCGCAUAAGCCCACAGCUCGGCAUCGAGCAGAGGGAAAAGGAGCAAUCCGCUUUGAGAUGGCCUCGCGUCCGAUUAGCUAGUUGGUGAGGUAAUGGCCCACCAAGGCGACGAUCGGUAGCCGGACUGAGAGGUUGAACGGCCACAUUGGGACUGAGACACGGCCCAGACUCCUACGGGAGGCAGCAGUGGGGAAUAUUGCACAAUGGGGGAAACCCUGAUGCAGCGACGCCGCGUGGAGGAAGAAGGUCUUCGGAUUGUAAACUCCUGUUGUUGAGGAAGAUAAUGACGGUACUCAACAAGGAAG